CAGCCUCUCGUGUUAUUUCGCAACACGAAUCAGGGAACAAGUGAAUGGUUUUCAAGGUUUUAAAGAAAUAAUUCCGUGAUGCAACAUCUAUAUAUACGAGCAUGAUACCCCUCCUAACUAUGUUUCUAAAAUGAGUUUUAGCAAUUUAAAGAAAAUCUAAGACCCAAUUCUAUUCCAUGCUGUCAAUAUAUUGCACAAAAAUCCGAAACUUCAUGAAAACAUGACUUUUAAUAAGUCGAGAAUAACGUAUAACACUUCACAAACGAGUUUCAACAAAAUAAAACCCCUAAUACAUAAUUGGGAAAAGGCCAGUACCUCUACUUUGUUAAAUUGUUCACCGUUAUACUUAGUUCCCUACCGUUAGCAAAGUAGAUAAAAUCAUCCCUAACCCUAACAGAUCUCCAACGUGGUAAUGGACCCCUCAAUUAAUUUGCCAACUGGACAAAUAUCAACCCAAAUUAAAAGACCCAUGUCCGACCCAACUAUCACAAAUGAAUGGGUCAAAAUCUGGAAACAAAUCGACGAUGACAAUGAAGAGGUCGUCGAAUCAGUGCCGUCGGAGAAAUUGCAAGACUCGCUGCCUGACGAUUGCUCACUCCUCUUCGUUCCUCCACGGCUAAGCUGCCGCAGUCGCCGCCAUCGACCGCUCUCUUUCUCUUCCAUCAAAUCAUGAGAACGAGAGCUCUCUUCUUUUUCUUUUCUGUUUCAGGGACUCAAAUGGUUUAAUGUGCACACAUAAGCUAAUUUUUCUACAUAUUUUGGAUUUUAUUUGUGGUUGUUAUUGAUUGAUGCUUGACUAGAUUAGUAUGGUUGAGGAGACCCACAAAUAUUUGGAGGGGAAGGUUAGAAAGAGGGAUCCAUCCCCGAGUUAUCUCUUUCCAUGUUCUAUAUCUUUGUCCUGUGGAAACAAAUGAUUAUCAGGACAUGAAAAAAGGGAUAAGAAAAAGAAACAAGAUUUGUCUGUUUCAUUUUGUCAUGAAAAUCCUUUUUUUUUCUACUGAUGAAAUGUUAUUCAAUGUGUAUUUAGUUUUUAUUUUAUUAUGGAAUCUUCUAAAUUUUUCAAAUUGAUGUUAAGUUUUCUGCUCACAAUCUUUUUGAUAAAAUUUUCAGUUGGUUACCUUAUCAUGAAACAUGAUUUCCCAGCCAUAAAUGAAAAAGAAUAAAGAAGGAAGAACAAGAUCAAGAACUGGAAAAGAAGAAACGAGGAAGAAGAAAAGUUGUGGUUGAAUACUUGAAUUAAGAGAGGAGGUGACCCAUAAGGUGGCUGGAUAGUUGGGUCAAAGAAAUGGGCAUAUGUCUUUUAAAAUUUGGGUUGAUAUUUUUCUAGUUGGCAG
Molecule: long non-coding RNA, 1334 nt
Filed under: Nicotiana tabacum (common tobacco)
Lineage: Eukaryota; Viridiplantae; Streptophyta; Magnoliopsida; Solanales; Solanaceae
Description: long non-coding RNA (NTAB_LNC002583)
Source: RNAcentral